Non-coding RNA from Acanthosepion pharaonis, 89 nucleotides. The record is from the annotation of a GenBank genome assembly. NCBI's taxonomy places the organism in Eukaryota, Metazoa, Mollusca, Cephalopoda, Sepiida, Sepiidae.
UACGACCACAUUACUUUGAAACACCAGUUCUCGUACGAUCACUGAAGUUAAGCAAUAUCGAGCCUGGUCAGUACCGAGAUGAGCGACCA